CCCGGUCCUCUAAUAUGUGGAUAAUUAGAAGCUUCUCAUCACUUACCAGGUGUCUACAAGCUUCCCAGCCUUGGGCUGAAGUGGUGUGGGCAUGCUAACUUCUUUCUUCCUUGAAGUAUCUCAGCAUCGCCAGUUCAAAAUUGCAGUAGGAGGUUGAUGAAAAUUUGGAUUAUCCGUCCUUUUAAGUCAAGCAAAAGUAUUAGUUUUUGGUCACUACUUUCUAGAUAUUUCAAUUUAAUACAUUCGGCACAUUAUGCAGACCACU
RNAcentral lists this long non-coding RNA (265 nucleotides) under Elaeis guineensis (African oil palm). RNAcentral's name for it is "long non-coding RNA (EGUI_LNC004339)". Lineage: Eukaryota; Viridiplantae; Streptophyta; Magnoliopsida; Arecales; Arecaceae. The record is from RNAcentral.